Long non-coding RNA from Phragmites australis (common reed), 1553 nucleotides. RefSeq lists it as uncharacterized. The record is from RefSeq and is a predicted model, not a curated record. The transcript has 4 exons. NCBI's taxonomy places the organism in Eukaryota, Viridiplantae, Streptophyta, Magnoliopsida, Poales, Poaceae.
UCCGGUGCUUGGCGUUUGAAGAGUCGGAAUCCGUAGACCAAAAUGCCGGAUGGAAGCGACCACAAGCACCGGCUAUUUGCUCGGAAUCUUUUAUUUAUCCCCUCUUCCGCCGAAGAAGCAGAUUGGAACACACAAACACCCACCCAUCUUGCUUCCAUUCGAAGGCGCAAGAUCCCGGGAUGAUUCCAUUCGCCUCCCAGUCUCCCCAUCCAAUCUCGAUACGGUCCCGUAGGCGGUUGGGAUCGAGACGGGUUCCAGGAAACUGAAGUUGGAGGCCUUACUUGUCGUUCCCUGGCGUAAUUUUCUCAAGAGACACAUCAUUUCUCCAAUAAGGAAAAAGGCAUUUUCAGUCAUUAUUGUUCCCCUUAACAUCCACAGGCUUUGCAUGCUCCCUUCUCUGUUCCUUUUUUCGUUUAAAAAAAGGCAUACAAGUUUAGCUAUCAAUUCGUAACAUAGGGUAUCCCCAUUUUCAUAGCAGACUAUACUUAGCAAGAAGAACAGUGUUCUAUCUGUGAACCCACAUAAAGAUCAUUAUUUCACUUAGUAGCUUCAUCUUCCAGACGCCCGCAUUUUAAUUGUCUCCUCUUUUUAACAAGGGCAUGAUCUGCAGAUAUAGCUAUGAGGAUACCACAAUGUUCCUAUCUCCAUAUCACCUCAUCAAGGCCAUUCUUCAAAGUAGGCUGCAGCAGUAGAUCAAUUUCUUUUUUCUUUUUUCAAGUUGGCAUUGGUAAUGAACUGAAUAUUACUGUCAUAUCCUGUCAAUUAUUGUUUUUUUUCUGAACUAGGUCAGAGUUCAGCCUAAGGGAAUCUCAAGUUCUCAACCCCAGUGAUCAUCCAAGGACCUAGUUUUGAUAUAUGCAUAACAAACAGAAAGGAACAGAAGCACAUCGAAAACAUUAAGUAUCUGACUUCAUGCUUAUUCAGGGCAUUCAUUUGAGCAGUUUACUGACAGAACAUGAUUCCAUCAAGACCAGGAACAGUUAGUCGCAGAAACAGUAAGUUACAAGGAAUCAUAUGAGUUAUGACAUGCCAUAUCAGUUUUUCCCCAAGGGUGCUUCUUUUAGCUAAGUUGUCUGUUAUUGUGCUGAUUUCUCUCUGGAGAUAGGAGAAUAACAGUCGGGAACUGCCUAUAAAUUUGAUCAGCUUCAGUCAGGAUUGUCUAUAGACUCCAAGACUGCACUCAGUUUCAGAUGUGUCAUGUUCCACUGAUGCAGUUAGCUGUUGGAAGUCUGUGGGCAUCUAUUAAGUACAUUGAAGGGCAAGAUUCUAAGCAAUUCCAGGGUUUCAAGUUACUGUAGGUACUAUUUAUGUGGUUCUUGUGUAUGGCAGGUAGUAGAGCUUGGCCUCUCCUUGGCAUGAUGAGGAGGCAUAUUUAGCAGUAACCUGGAUUCGGAGGCAGAGAGCUGGAGACUGUAAGCUUCAAGAUAACACUAGCUGUGAGUUGCUCUAACUGUUGUUUCGAUGAUAUGGGAUUGGGGUAAUUUGCUUAUGGGAUUUGUUUGCUAUACCUCGUAAUUUCAUUCCUCUUACGAAUAAAAACUCAUUUGUAUCUA